RNAcentral lists this ribosomal RNA (484 nucleotides) under uncultured bacterium. RNAcentral describes it as "partial 16S ribosomal RNA". It matches the Rfam family "Bacterial small subunit ribosomal RNA", at positions 30 to 507 of the family's 1533-position model. The record is from RNAcentral.
AUUGAACGCUGGCGGCAGGCCUAACACAUGCAAGUCGAGCGGAUGAAGGGAGCUUGCUCCUGGAUUCAGCGGCGGACGGGUGAGUAAUGCCUAGGAAUCUGCCUGGUAGUGGGGGAUAACGUCCGGAAACGGGCGCUAAUACCGCAUACGUCCUGAGGGAGAAAGUGGGGGAUCUUCGGACCUCACGCUAUCAGAUGAGCCUAGGUCGGAUUAGCUAGUUGGUGGGGUAAAGGCCUACCAAGGCGACGAUCCGUAACUGGUCUGAGAGGAUGAUCAGUCACACUGGAACUGAGACACGGUCCAGACUCCUACGGGAGGCAGCAGUGGGGAAUAUUGGACAAUAGGCGAAAGCCUGAUCCAGCCAUGCCGCGUGUGUGAAGAAGGUCUUCGGAUUGUAAAGCACUUUAAGUUUGGAGGAAGGGCAGUAAGUUAAUACCUUGCUGUUUUGACGUUACCAACAGAAUAAGCACCGGCUAACUUCGUG